CUUCUCUCGCUCGGCACUCUCUCUUCGCUAACUCUCUCCAACCAAUCACAACACAAAACCCGAGAUUACUGCAAACAUUCGGUAAAACAUUAAUUGGCGCCAAAAUUUCUCUUUUUCAAUCGCUCCAAUUCCCAAAUCCUAGGGUUUUCAUACACAACAUUUUUUCAACUUCCAAAUUCUCAAACUUCAAGACCCGCUAACUCGACAUCGAUCUCCGUUACUUUCAAUGGCGAAUUCUCGCCCUUCUAAGCGCCACAAAAUUAACAGGGGGGAGGAUGAUUAUAUGCCUGGAAACAUUUUAGAGAUCGAACUUCAUAAUUUCAUGACAUUUGAUUACUUAAAAUGUAAACCCGGGCCUCGGUUGAAUCUCGUAAUUGGGCCAAAUGGUUCUGGAAAGAGUUCUCUUGUAUGUGCUAUUGCUCUUGGCCUCUGCGGAGAGCCCCAGUUGCUUGGGCGAGCCACAAGUAUUCAGGCAUUUGUGAAGCGGGGAGAAGAUUCUGGGCACAUUAAGAUUACCUUGAGGGGGGACCAUAAAGAGGAGCAAAUUACAAUUAUGCGUAAAAUAAACACUAGCAACAAGUCGGAAUGGGUUUUAAAUGGAAAUAUUGUGCCCAAAAAGGAUGUGGCUGAAACCAUUCAGAGGUUUAACAUCCAAGUAAAUAAUUUGACUCAAUUUUUACCGCAAGACAGGGUCUGUGAGUUUGCAAAGUUAACUCCUGUGCAACUUCUGGAAGAGACAGAAAAAGCUGUUGGUGAUCCACAACUUCCAGAGCAACAUCGUGCACUUAUUGACAAAAGUCGUGCACUGAAGCAUGUUGAGCUGUCUCUGGAGAAAAAUGAAGGAACUUUAAACCAGUUGAAGGAACGUAAUGCUGAGUUAGAGAAGGAUGUUGAACGUGUUCGUCAAAGAGAUGAACUUCUGGCCAAGGCCGAAUCAAUGAAAAAGAAAUUGCCAUGGCUGAGGUAUGAUAUGAAGCAGGCUGAAUAUCGUGAAGCUAAGGAGCGUGAGAAGGCUGCAGCAAAGGAGCUUGAGAAGGUGGCAAAAUUAUUAAAUGAACUUAAAGAACCUAUUAAGAAACAAAAAGAGGAGAAAGCUGCAUUAGAUGCAAAAUGCAAAAAGGCUAACAACCGAAUAAGUGACAAUGCCAAGAAGAGAAUGGAACUUAUGGAGAAAGAGAAUCAAUUGGAGGUGGAAUUACAAGGGAAGUACAAAGAGAUGGACGAGUUGAGGAAGCAGGAAGAAAAUCGGCAACAGAAAUUAAAACAAGCUAGGGAGGAACUUGCAGCUGCUGAACUUGAACUUGAGAAUCUAAACCCUUAUGAACCUCCCAAGGAUGAGAUUCAUAGACUGAGAGAGGGAAUUGUGGAGUUGGAUUAUUCUGCUAACCAAGCGAGACAGAAUAAGUCACAAGCAGAAAGCGAAAUAAAGCAUAAAAAGUUCUCCUUAAUUAAGUGUAAAGAGAGGUUGAUGGAAAUGAAUAAUAAAAGUACCAAGUGUUUGCAUGCACUGCGGAAAUCUGGGGUUGAAAGAAUUUUCGAUGCUUAUAAAUGGGUCCAAGAGCAUCGCGAUGAAUUCCACAAGGAGGUUUAUGGCCCAGUUUUAGUUGAGGUGAAUGUCUCAGAUCAAUCUCAUGCUGGAUAUCUAGAGGGUCAAGUUGCUUGGUACACUUGGAAGUCUUUCAUAACACAGGAUCCCCGCGAUCGGGACUUCUUGGUGAACAACCUACGGAACUACGAUGUACCAGUUUUAAAUUAUACUGGUCAUGAUAGCCGAAGAGAGCCGCCUCCUGAAAUAUCUGCCGAUAUGCGUGCUCUUGGUAUCAACUCUCGUUUGGACCAAAUUUUUGAUGCUCCUGUUGCUGUCAAGGAGGUGUUGAUUAGCCAAUCUAAUCUUGAUCAUUCGUUUAUUGGAUCGAAAGAAACUGAUCAGAAAGCUGAUGGGGUACCAAAAUUGGGAAUUACUAGCUUAUGGACACCAGAAAAUCACUAUCACUGGUCUAAGUCUAGAUAUGGAAAUCAUGUCUCAGCAGUUGUUGAACAAGUGCAACGCCCUCAACUUCUACUGAAUAAUUUAAAUGUGAGGGACAUUGAGGAUCUGAGCUCCGAGGAAAGGGAGCUUCAUGAACAUAUUGCUUCCUUGGAGGAAAGUCUUAAAAAGUUUCAAGACGAGGAAAGAAGCUUUGUGAAUCAGGCUGCUAAUCUUCGUAAGCAGUUGGAGAACAUUCGUUUAGAAGCACAAAAUAAGCAAAAAGAGCGACAAGCAAUUGUUAGGCGUACUGAACAAAAGAAAAGCAAACUGAAAUCGAUGGAGGAGCAAGAUGAUUUGGAUACUGAGUUAGCAAAGCUUGUUGAUCAGGCAACAAAGUGUAACAUUCAACGAUUACAUAAUGCAAUUAAAAUUAAGGAUCUUCUUGUUGAAGCCGCGGGUUACAGACGAAGUUUUGCUGAACAACGCAUGGCUUUCAUUGAAUUUGAUGCAAAGAUUGGAGAAGCGGAGGCCAGUCUGAAGCAGCAUGAAAAUAUUGCUCUGCAGGCAUCAUCACACUUUAAUAACUCUAAGAAAGAGGCUGAAGAAUGUAGACAGAAGCUUACAGAUUUAUUAAACUAUGCUAAGUCAAUUGCCCGGCUUACACCCGACCUAGAGAAGGAGUUUCUUGAGAUGCCUACUACAAUUGAGGAGUUGGAAGCAGCUAUCCAAGAUACAACUUCUCAAGCCAAUUCAAUCCUUUUUGUCAAUAAUAACAUAUUGGAACAAUAUGAGGCUCGUCAGAGACAGAUAGAAGAUCUUGCAAAAAAACUUGAUGCUGACAAGAAGGAAUCUACAAGGUGUCUAGCUGAAUUGGAUAACAUUAAGGGAAAAUGGCUCCCUACAUUGAGAAACCUCGUGGCCCAGAUAAAUGAAACUUUUAGUCAAAAUUUUCAACAGAUGGCUGUUGCUGGAGAAGUUUCACUAGAUGAGCAUGAUAUGGACUUUGAUCAAUUCGGAAUACAUAUAAAAGUCAAAUUCAGAGAAAGUGGACAGCUUGAAGUUCUCAGCGCCCAUCAUCAAUCUGGAGGGGAACGAUCAGUUUCAACUAUUGUUUAUCUUGUUUCACUUCAAGAUCUUACAAACUGCCCAUUUAGAGUUGUUGAUGAGAUCAAUCAAGGAAUGGAUCCAAUAAAUGAAAGGAAGAUGUUUCAGCAACUAGUGAGAGCAGCAAGCAAGCCAAAUACACCACAGUGUUUCUUACUUACCCCAAAGUUGUUACCAGAUCUGCAAUAUAGUGAGGCAUGCAGUAUAUUGAAUGUAAUGAAUGGUCCUUGGAUUGAGCAACCCUCAAAGGUCUGGACCGCUGGUGAUCGAUGGAGUAUUAUCACUGGACAUGUUGGAGAGGCAGUUUGUUAAAGUAAAACAAACACUAUGGAGUUAAUUUGCAUUUUGUAUAGUUUUAUGGAGAAAGAAAUCGAAGUUUGUGAUUGAGUGAACUUGCUUUUGUUUCAUUGAUGGGAUUGGAUAUAUACCUAACAAGAGUCUCCAGAAAUGCAAGUUUAAAAGACACCACUUUCUCAGAGACGUGCUUGGCAUUGGAAAGAAGAGAACUUUUUGGGAUAAAAUGUAAUAAUGAUGCAUAUUGCCAGUCUGUCUCUGAUUGUGAUAUUCAUAAGGGAGAACAAUCACAUUGUAUUGAUGGGAAGUGUUGGUGUUUUUUGCCACCAUCUUCCGCUAAUAAACAUACAUAGCUAGUUUAAUACCCUAUAUUGCAAGUAUUGAAUGUUGUUAUGAAAUUUUCAUGUAUGAAAAAAAUAAUAUGCAUAAAUUGCAAAUUUAGUGGUGUUGAUCUUU
RNA transcript from Medicago truncatula (barrel medic), 3823 nucleotides. It is a transcript of the gene named structural maintenance of chromosomes protein 5, with no coding region annotated. The transcript is spliced from 32 exons. Lineage: Eukaryota; Viridiplantae; Streptophyta; Magnoliopsida; Fabales; Fabaceae. The record is from RefSeq and is a predicted model, not a curated record.